This 500-nucleotide ribosomal RNA is filed under the name uncultured bacterium. Its description in RNAcentral is "partial 16S ribosomal RNA". It matches the Rfam family "Bacterial small subunit ribosomal RNA", at positions 30 to 523 of the family's 1533-position model. The record is from RNAcentral.
AUUGAACGCUGGCGGAAUGCUUUACACAUGCAAGUCGAACGGCAGCACGGACUUCGGUCUGGUGGCGAGUGGCGAACGGGUGAGUAAUGUAUCGGUACGUGCCCAGUCGUGGGGGAUAACGUAAUGAAAAUUACGCUAAUACCGCAUACGAUCUAUGGAUGAAAGCGGGGGAUCGCAAGACCUCGCGCGAUUGGAGCGGCCGAUAUCAGAUUAGGUAGUUGGUGGGGUAAAGGCCCACCAAGCCAACGAUCUGUAGCUGGUCUGAUAGGACGACCAGCCACCCUGGAACUGAGACACGGUCCAGACUCCUACGGGAGGCAGCAGUGGGGAAGUUUGGACAAUGGGCGAAAGCCUGAUCCAGCCAUUCCGCGUGCAGGAUGAAGGCCCUCGGGUUGUAAACUGCUUUUGUACAGAACGAAAAGGUUUCUACUAAUACUAGGAGCUCAUGACGGUACUGUAAGAAUAAGCACCGGCUAACUACGUGCCAGCCGCCGCUGUAA